This 300-nucleotide ribosomal RNA is filed under the name uncultured Desulfovibrio sp. RNAcentral describes it as "bacterial SSU rRNA". It matches the Rfam family "Bacterial small subunit ribosomal RNA", at positions 496 to 795 of the family's 1533-position model. Lineage: Bacteria; Pseudomonadati; Thermodesulfobacteriota; Desulfovibrionia; Desulfovibrionales; Desulfovibrionaceae. The record is from RNAcentral.
UCUAGCGUGUGGCCGGCGGCGGUGGGAAGACGAAGGAGGGAAGCUGUACUUGGAAUUACUAGGCGUAAAGCGUGGGCAGGCGGUUCGGAAAGGCUGUUGUGAAAGCUCCCUGCGCAACUGGGAGAGGCCAAUGGAUACUUCCGGACUUGAAUCGAGGAGAGGUGACUGGAAUUCCUGGUGUAGCGGUGAAAUGCGUAGAGAUCAGGAGGAACACCGAUGGCGAAAGCAGGUCACUGGACUCGUAUUGACGCUCAUCCACGAAAGCUAGGGGAGCAAACAGGAUUAGAUACCCGAGUAGUC